UUUUUUUUUUUUUUUUUUUUUUUUUUUNGCUAGGACUUCCAGGACUGUGUUGAACCACAGUGGUGGAGAGUGGGCAUCCUUGUCUUGAUCUAGAUUUUAGUGGGAAGGCUUUCAGCUUUUCUCCAUUGAGUAUUAUCUUUGCUGUGGGCUUGUCAUCAAUGGCUUUGAUUAUGUUACGGUAUGUUCCCUCUAUACUCACUUUGGUAAGAGUUCCUAUCACGAAUGCAUGUUGGACUUUGUCAAAUGCUUUUUCUGCCUCUAUUGAGAUGCUCAUGUGGUUUUUGACUUUUCUUUCGUUAAUGUGGUAUAUGACGUUGAUUGAUUUGCGUAUGUUGAACUAUCCUUGUGAACCUGGGAUGAAUCCCACUGGUCGUGGUGUAUGAUUGCUUUUGUUGGAUUGGGUUGGCUAAAAUUUUGUUGAGAAUUUUUGUGUCUAUAUUCAUCAAAGAUAUUGGCCUAUUGUUUUCCUUUUUGGUGGUAUCUUUGUCUGGUUUUGGAAUUAGGGUGAUGGAGGCAUCACAGAAUGUCUUUGAGAGUGUUCCUUCUUCUUCAGCCUUUUGGAGAAGUUUAAGGAGGGUGGGUAUAAGUUCCUCUUUGUAUGUUUGGUAGAAUUCGCCUGUGAAGCCAUCUGGUCCUGGACUUUAAUUUGUAGGGAGUGUUUUUGUGACCUACUCAAUUUCAUUUCUAGUGAUCGGUCUGUUCAGGUCAUCUAUUUCUUCUUGAUUCAGUGUUGGUAGGCUGUAAGUCUCUAGAAAGUUGUCCAUUUCUUCUAGGUUGUCAAGUAUGUUAGCGUACAAUUGUUGACAGUAUUGUCUCAUGGUUUUUUGUAUUUCUGUAGUAUCCAUUGUGACUUCUCCUUUUUCCUUUCUUAUUUUGUUUAUCUGAGUUUUUUCUCUCCUCUUCUUGGUGAGCCUAGCCAGAGGUUUGUCAAUUUUGUUGACCUUUUCAAAGAACCAGCUCUUGGUCUUACUGAUUUUUUAUAUUGUUUUUUUAAUCUCUGUUAUAUUGAUUUCCUGUGUGAUCUUUACGAUUUCCUUCCUUCUGCUGACUUUAGCUGUUGUUUGUUCUUCUUUUUCUAAUUCAUUUAGGUGGUGGGUUAAGGUGUCAAUUGGAUAGUUUUAUUCUUUUUUGAGGAAGGCCUGUAUUGCUAUGAAUUUCCCUCUGAGCACUACUUUUGCAGCAUCCCAAAGAUUUUGAGUAGUUGUGUCUUCAUUAUCAUUUGUCUCAAGGUAGUUUUUUAAUUUCCUUUUUGAUUUCCUCAUUGACCCAUUGGUUUUUUUAGUAGCAUGUUGUUUAGUCUCCAUGUUAAGUUUUUUUCUCAUUUCUUUUCCUGUGGUUGAUUUCAUGCCAUUGUGGUUAGAGAAGAUACUUGAAUUAAUUUCUAUACUCUUAAAUUUGUUAGGUUAGCUUUGUGCCCCAGUGUGUGAUCAAUUUUUGAGAAUGUAAAAUGUGCACUUGAGAAAAAUUUAUAUUCUCAUUUUUUUUUAAUGUAAUGUCCUGAAAAUGUCAAUUAGGUCUAACUUUUCUAUUGUGUCCUUUAGAAUCUCUGUUGCCUUUUUGAUUUUCUGUCUAGAGAAUCUUUCCAUUGAUGUGAGUGGGUGUUAAAGUCUCCUACUAUUAUUGUAUUCCCAUCAAUUUCUCCUUUUAUGUCUGUUAGUAUUUUUUGUAGGCAUCUGGAUGCUCCUAUAUUAGGGGCAUAUAUAUUCACAAUUGUAAUAUCCUCUUCUUGAAUGGAUCCUUUUACCAUUAAAUAGUGUCCUUCUUUGUCUUUCUUUAUGGCCUUUGUUUUAAAGUCUAUUUUGUCUGAUAUGAGUACUGCAGCUCCUGCUUUCCUAUCUUGUCCAUUGGCAUGAAAUAUCUUCUCCCAUCCCCUCACUUUCAAUCUACAUGUGAAAGGACUAUUUUUCAAAUGUAUUGAACCAAUUAUGUAAAUAUGAGCUCAUUAACCUGAUACUUUCAUAAUAACAAAAAUGUAACAGGCAGAGGUUUAGGGAAGAAUAUUAACAUUUAAUAUGUAGGAUGAACACUAGUGAUUAAAAAAUGUUUCACAUUAACUGAGGUCCUUUUAGAUUUUUAGGUUUUUGAGGGAACUACAUGUUUGAAUUAAUUUCUAUAAUAGUUAUUUCUUGAAUGACAGACACUGUGCUAGAAGUUGGGGUACAGAAGUGAGACAAAGAAAUUAAACAGAUUUUAAGCCUUCACAGAGUUUAAUAUCAAGUCCAGGGGACAUUACUGAAUCAAAUAUUCAUUCAAUGAAUACAAAUAUCAACUCCAAUAUGUCCUAAGAAGCAAAGGUCUUGGUGCUAAGAGUGUGUAAAACAAGUAAACCUGAAACCUGACCAGUGAGGAGAAUGGGAAAGUUUUCUCCAGAAAUGACAUCUGAACAAAGAUUUCAGUGAUGAGGGGGUGUUCACUAGACAGAUCCUUUUGAAAUUAAAGGAAAGGAAGAGAGGGAAAGAAAGGGAAGGGAAGGGAAGGGAAGGAAGGGAGGAGAAGAAGAAACCUCAUUACCAAAGGCACCUUUGUUGUUUGGGGUUUGGUUUGGUUUGGGGCUUUGUCUUCCAUUUUAUUGACAAACCUCCAUACUUUGCUGUGAACCUUCCUGAGCUGUUGUAUUUCCAAACCUUGAGAAGAAAGUAGAUAUAUUAAAGAGAACUAGAAGAGGCUAAUGUGGCUGGGUUGGAGAGUCUGACCACAUAGGUUGACAAAAUCUUGUAUACAGUGAUUAACACUUCUGUCUUUCCUUUAAGAAAACAAACAGCAAAGCUUUGCAGAGUGUUUAAGGAUGCCCACGUGCUAUGAGAACACGUGGUUUAAACAUGCAAGGACUUUAUUAGAGAAAUUGCUAUGAGAGGAAAUGGGCCAAGGGAGGCAAGGAGGGGGAGGGGUGAGUGGGAUGGAUAGGGAACUCAGAGUUAAUAGAUGCAAACUACUGCCUUUGGAAUGGAUAAGCAAUGAGAUCUUGCUGUAUGACACUGGGAACUAUAUCUAGUCACUUAUGAUGGAGCAUAAUGUGAGAAAAAAGAAUGUAUAGGAGUUCCCAUCAUGGCUCAGUGGUUAACGAAUCCAACUAGGAACCAUGAGGUUGCUAUUUCAAUCCCUGGCCUCGUUCAGUGGGUUAAGGAUCUGGCGUUGCUGUGAGCUGUGGUGUAGGUUGCAGACAUGCCUCGGAUCCCACAUUUCCGUGGCUCUGGCAUAGGCUGGUGGCCACAGCUAUGAUUAGACCCUUAGCCUGGGAACCUCCAUAUGCCACGGGUGUGACCCUAGAAAAGACAAAAAAAAAAAAAAAAAAAAGAAUGUAUACAUGUACGUGUGACUGGGUCACCUUUCUGUUCAGUAGAAAAUUGACAGACCACUGUAAACCAUUAUAAUGGAAAAAAUAAAAAUCAUUACAAAAUUUUUAAAAAAUUCUUUCAUAGUCAGGAUUUUCAUGUUAUCUUAAAACACAAUAUGUUUGAAAGGCAUUUAACUCCUAAACCCAUAAAGGGAUUUUCUUGUUAUUUUUAUAAAAAUAUUUAUUAGCCAGUGGGUAUUUAACCAUGUAGGUUCAAUGGGGUAAGAAAAAUAAUCAAAAGAAACAUAUAUUCUACCUCAAAAAGGACAGACUGGCCUCUAGUCUAUUCCAGUCUUCUAUUUUCUUAGACUGGGAGUUAAAGCUACUUUAUAGGGCUUUGUUUAUUUGUUUCCAUUUGAAGACUUAAGGAAGAAAUUUCUGGCAAAGUUCUUGGAGAUGUCUGAUGCCACGAGACUGAGCUAAUUUGACAGUCUGUUAAUUUUGUUAUUCAGCUGUGACAUAUUGCAUCUAUAAGAACUACUGCUUUAUAUAAGCUUUGUAAUACAAACCAGCAGGAUGACAUCAAUUUCUUUUCUGUUUAUUUUCUGAGAAUCAAUUAUUUUAUGUGAAACAGGAAGAUAUGUCACUAUUUUUGACAGCUAUAAAAAAACAGAUUUCAAUAUCCUACCCUGUGAACUUUACCACAAUAUCGUAUUUCCAUUUAGCUUAAGUUGCAAGUUCAAAGACAAACUUGAUUUACAGAGUUGCCUGUUCUCUUCUAAAGAACUCUAAAUAUCCAAGACACUUGUGUUCUUUUUUUACAAGAGAAAUGGAUAAAACAGACACACAAUAAAUCAGUAGCUUUGACAAAAAUGCUACUCUGCUCACUAUACUUUCCAUUACCUCUUCUCUCUCCUUUUAAUUUACAAAUUGAAUUUCACCCUUUCCCACAACAGAUUUAGCAUUUCAAACCCUGUAGUCAUACUUUUUCUACUAACCCCAGUAAUCUCUCAGUGUAUGUUUCACUUAGUUUUUAGUAUCAUCCCUGAAAAAUCCAUUCACUCUUUCUUCACUAGUGGUCAGUGAUGAUGCUGGAAUCUUUUAUACUCUCAAUAUUUCCCUAAAAAGACUCUAAACCCCUUUCUAAUUAACUUGCUGACUUCCUUUUGUCACUCAAGUGUCCUAACCUAUUAAAUUUAAAACAAAGAAGUCUUCCACCUGUACUAAUGCAUGAAACUAUCAAAACAUCAUUUAUGACUGAUCUUCUAUUUAUUCCAAUGUUACUUUUGGAAAUAAGAACAAAGUAGUUGGAAAAUAAACAUUUCUUAUAACUGAACAGUAGGUCUGCAUUAGGUUCUCACAAGACAAAGAAAAAAGGUCUAGAAAGCAUAAAACUACCUUCAAGUGGUUAAACCCAGAGCAUUCAUUCUUUCAAGGAAAAUCACAUUAUUAACAAAAAACGUUCACAUCAGCUGCAAAGGCACUUAAAAUAUUUUCUCACUUUGGUACCCCGAUUCCCAAUUUAUUUUCCAAAAACUGAAAUAUUUUUCUCAGUAUUGUUUACAUGCCAUAAAGUGACAUAAAGUGAUUUACUCUCUACUAAAAUGUUAACCACUAUAGACAAUCUCAGUAGAAUAAAUAAGAAAUUUUGAAAAUUUCCAAGCCAUUUGCCCUAAUAAGCACUUAAAUUUUGGCCCAUGAAUAAUAGGUAUUUAACCCAGUUAUUCUCUUUGUUUGCCAUAUUGCCCAUCUCCUUCUGAAAGCCUUCUCAUAAUUAAUCAUUAUCUCCUCCCUCCUGUGUAUUUUGUGCAUUUACUAAAUCAGAAGGGCAGAGCAGAGUGCCUAACAGCUCUUUGGUAUUUUGCUACUGUUCUUUUCCCUUAACUAUGAAAAGAGUUUCUUGAAAGAAUAGUACCUGUCUUUGCCAAGGGGGAGGGGGAGGGAGUGUGAUAGAUGGGGAGCUUGGGGUUAAUAGAUGCAGACUACUGCCUUUGGAAUGGAUUAGCAAUGAGAUCCUGCUGUGUAGUACUGGGAACUAUGUCUAGUCACUUAUGAUGGAGAAUGAUAAUGUGAGAAAAAAGAACAUAUACAUGUAUGUGUACCUGGGUCACCAUGCUGUACAAUAGAAGAAAAAUGUUUUGGGGAAAAAAAAUAAAAUCUUUUCUAAUAUUCCAGUCAUUAACCAAAAAGAUCCCCUGCACGAGCAACACUUGCCUUUACUAGAGAAUUACACAGCCCCUACUCGUUCUACUCUGGAAGUUCUGCACCUACAGGUAGCUUAAAGAUUCUGCUUCUGUUGAGAGCAGGGAAAAAAAAUCUCAAACUGGCUUAAACAAAAAUGUAUUUACUGUUCAUUUAAAUGAAAGGUUCACAUUAAAGAGCGACUUCAGAGAUGGCUUUCUUCAGGAUUCAAAUGAUAACUCCAGUUUUCUUUGCUUCCCCUACAGUGACUCCCUUCUCGGGAGUCCUUGUGGUGUUUUCUGCAUCUUUAGGCUCCUGUAACCAUCACACUCAAUCCAGAGCCAGGAGAGUUGAACAAAAGCUCAAACGGAAGUCUGGAUUGAGUCUUCUUGGUUGAGAUUGGCCAGGCUGGUGGUACUAACUGGCUUAGUUUGGGUAAAGGCUCCAGCUCUGGAGCCCAGGGGCAGAGGCACCUCCAACACAAAGUUUGUGGGUCAAGAGGGAAGGCAGAGUGGCCUCCGGGCAAAACUGUGGUCAUGGGAACACAGACAAAGUGAAACACAACCAAUCCACAGCCACUUCUGACUUUCAGGUAAUUUACUACUUUUCUUAGCAAUAGAUUUUAUCAGACUUGGAACUCUCUGAGAGAUCUAUAUCAUGCUGCCAUGAUGUCCCCUAAUGGCAGACACAUUUUACAGAAUUAUCCAAUGAAAUUCUCAUUUGUUCUUCUAGAAACAAUUUCCAAAUUUGUAUAACAUAAAAUAACAGAUAUACUAAUAGUGCACUUGGACUUCCACCAUCCUUUAAUUUGCUCGUCUCAAGAUCUCGAUAUAACAAAAUCAUGUGAUUUUUUUUCCAUUAUCUAUUUUUUGACAUAUGAACACCAUAGAUAAAUAACUUCUAUAAAUUUUUGAAGUCUAAUUUUUGGUUAAUUAUCUCCAAUUCUUAAUAAAGUCCUAAAAGAUUUCUCUGAUUUAACAGUUCUUGACUUGUGAUUUUAGCUAUUUUUACCCUUUUUAACAUGGCACUAAAAGCUCCCCAUGGCAAGAGGGAAUGUGUUAAAAGUCUGUGGUUAAUGUCUCGCCUGCUCCUAGAUGACUUCUUUAAGAGGCCCAUUCCUUUUAGCACUUUCAAACUCGAUAACUGUGUUCACCAGUGUCACCGCCUUUUUCUCUUUUGUAAACACUUGAGAAACAUGUCAAAUGUCAUUCUAUCUUUCUUCUCCCUCCUGCUUCCCUUUAAAUAUUUCAGCAGAAAAAAAAAUUUCCAAAAAAUGUAUUUGCCUUUAUUUAUCCAAUAAAACUGUGUAUUUGCAUACUAUGAAAUAUUUUUCAGCAAUGCUAAGGGUUAUUUUAGUUUAGUUUUGUUGUUGUUUGCCUCUUGUCAAUUUCAUCCCACAUUUACUUCUUUUCAUAAAGUUGACUUUUUUCCAUUCAAACUCCUGUCAGACUUUCCCUUGAAGCACAUUAGCACCUUCUUAAAGAUGCCUUCUCCAAACAACUCUUCAAAGGACUGGCAUAGAGUUUAAACCUAAAGCCACCAUCUUAAAAUUAUUUUUGUUUUUAUCCACAUGUCAAAAAUUAAAACUGAAAGAAGAGUCAUAAAAUAUUAUUGAACUUAUAAUAUUUUGUAUUUACAUAUACAAACACUGUUAAGUCCCAAAAUAGUAAUUUAAAGUGAUAGAUAUUUUUGUCUAUUGAUUUUAAUUAAAUUUACUUUAGGAUGUCAGGUUGGCAAGUAAGAGAGAAAGGAGAAAUAGAUGAAAAAACCACGAGGAAGCUUUUUAUCCCAGCUCUUGGGGAAAAAAACUAAUAAGCCACCUCCACAGUGAAUUUCUAGUGAAUCAUUAACCAGGGAUUUGUUGCCUUGGUUACUGAGCCAGGUAGAGAUUCCAGUAAAAAAGCAAUGUGACCUAUGUGCUCAGGAAACUGAAGAAGUGAAAUUUCUGCAUUAUAAUAUUUGCAGUUUCUACAGAAAGAAAUGAAAAGAGUAAAAAACGUAUGUUAAAAGGGAAAAAAUACCUUGAUUUUCAUCCCAAUGUCAAGACGUUUACACACACACAAUAGCACCUCAGUAUUAGUUUGCUUGUGAGAUUUUACAAAAUAUAGACCAUUUCCCAUAUACGUGACAUCUCCUAUCCUAGAAAACACAGCACUUGGCUUAUCAGUGGUCACUGGACAUUCCAUCUGUAGAGAAUAUUUUGAAAAUAAUACGUUUACAAAAUAAGCAUUGAGAGGAGUUCCUGUUGUGGUGCAGUGGUUAACAAAUCCGACUAGGAACCAUGAGGUUUCGGGUUCGAUCCCUGCCCUUG
This 7766-nucleotide long non-coding RNA is filed under the name Sus scrofa (pig). RNAcentral describes it as "lncRNA (ENSSSCG00040024571.1)". Lineage: Eukaryota; Metazoa; Chordata; Mammalia; Artiodactyla; Suidae. The record is from RNAcentral.